Long non-coding RNA from Marmota monax (woodchuck), 2851 nucleotides. RefSeq lists it as uncharacterized. Lineage: Eukaryota; Metazoa; Chordata; Mammalia; Rodentia; Sciuridae. The record is from RefSeq and is a predicted model, not a curated record. The transcript has 2 exons.
CCAGGGAAGCACGAGGAUGGGCUCAUCCAAUGUGCACACGGUCAGGUGGCUUUUCUGCUCCAUGAACCUGGAAGGAGGAUCCAAGGGACAAGGUGGACCAAGGUCUUGCCUGGCAUCAGGGUCACCCGAGCCACAGAAGGCUCUGAGUUGGAGGCGAAGGUGGGCAGGAGGUAGUUGCCUGUGCCCAAACGGGCCGUUAAGGCAUCCUUGCCUACCUGAAUGAGCCAGUAAGUGCAUUCUCAGUCGCAAACUAUCCAGGAACCGCUUUCCGCAGAGCUCACACCCGUACGUCUUCAUCCCACUGUGCAGCUUCCUGUAGGGGAAAGGAAAAGACAGGUUGCUGCUGCUCUGGCUGGAACGAAGGCAGGCCCAACCCUACCUGGGGGCUCUGAAGCCAUCUCUCAGGAGAUGUUCUACAGGGUGGCAAAGGCUCCAUUUGUAAGUGGCUCUUCAGCUGAACUUCUCACACACAGUCCUGGUGACGUCUAGUGGAUGACAACUUACGAGUUCCAGUUUAUUUUCAUCCUCUUCAUUGGUAAUUUGUUAGUUUCCAGAGGUGCUCACCUUUCACUGGUGGCUGUCAAGAGGAACAGAUGGACCAACACCCACUUGGAUUUACUUUCCAAAAGGAAUCUACAGUGGCCAGUAUUAACAUUUGGGGAGCCACCACCAGCCAGGCUAACCUCCCCUCUUGGGCUCCUUUUUUUAAAAACAUUUUUUUCUUUUUUAGUUGUGGAUGGACACAAUACCUUUAUUUAGUAUUUUUUAUGUGGUACUAGGGAUCAAACUCAGUGCCUCAUGUGUGCUAGGCAAGCGCUCUAUCACUGAGCCACAACCCCAAUUCUCCUAUCUCUUCUUGAGAGCUCCAGAUCAAGUCCUUCACCCUGAUGAACACUCUUUCAGUAAUACUUCUGGCCUUUUCCCUAUAUGCAAAUGGAUUUGCCUUGAAAUUGCUGGAAGUGUCUUUUCUUCCAGUGGCCAACUGGAGUGGCUUGGUGUGAAAGAUGAAGCACCUUUGCCCUUUCCUUAUAGAGAUAGCAGGGCACAGGAAAGAAUGCCCAGUGAGCAGCUAGAAGACUUAUAUCCUCAUCUUGACUCAGUCAAGAUAGCUUGUUUCAAGACCUUGGACAAGUAGUGCUAUCAUAAUCACUCCUCUUUUUCUCACCUGUAAAUGGAUGUGGAUGAUAGCUAAAAUUUCAGGUGGAGACCAAAUUUUAUUAUUCAAAAGUCUUACCCACAUCCUUUUACCUUGCCUCCAAGAAGUCCCUCUCAUGGGCACCAUUAUUCUUGCUGAGCCAUGCUCCACUUGUCACUGCCCACUAUGAUGUUCUCUGACACUCAGGCAGUCAGGCUAAGAGAGCCCAAGCAACCUGGACCCAACCUGGCAAUCUAUUCAUUUAAAAACUUUCUAAUCCAGAUGGCCAGAGUUUCCUCUUUCACUCACUUGUUAUUUGUUUUUCAUUAAAAAAAGCUCCCAGAACUCAUCACAAGCCUUUCCUCUGAACAUCUUUGCCACCAUGCACUUCUAGCCUUCAGAGACGUAGAUGUUGUCUUGUCCAAUCCUCAGGGUGAGAACACUACCCUGGAACUCUGUCACUAACACAGUGACCCACACAGGUUACCAUGGGCGAAUGUGGGAUCCACGUAAUCCUUACCUAGGACAAGCACACAGGUCUCACCCACUGGCAGGGAGAUCCAGGCAAAUCACACAAAGUCCAGAAGACAAAAAGAAAACAACUUCCCAGCCUGCCUGGGAGUUCAACCUAGCCUGUUUACUCCCAUCUUUACUUAUUGUUCAGAUACCAAGAAGAGUGUAGAGAAGUGGAAGCUUCUCCUGAUUCAAAGAAAAAUAAGUUAUACUCCAUGGAUGUACAGUAUGUCCAGAUGCACUCUACUGUCAUGUAAAAAUAUACUAAAAAGAACAACAACAAAAAGCAAAUGGCAGAGAAGACUUGAUUGCAUUCACUGGGCCUGGUGACCAAUAGACUCUAUGACAGAGUCCACAGAAGAGCCAAUGUGGAUAUAGAGUUCCCAGUGGUUUCUAGAGCAAAAGUACAACUUUGUAUGAACUUACGGUCAUCCCUCUUUAGAACACAACCUCCCCAAACCACCACCACCACACUAUGCAGGGGCAUUUAGAUCAAAAUAGAAAUUCUGUCCACCUUCUUCCUCCUCAUCAUACGCUUGAGUCCUGUCUUUUCACAAGGUAUGACUGCUUAGGACCAUCUGAAGUCAUCAACCUCCACUAUGCACAGGGAAGGACACCUAGGGAUAGUUUUACACUUUGCUGUGUACUUCUCUGGUUGAUAUUGAAGUUUCUAUAUUCUGUUCUCUGAGAAAAAAAGCCACAUGGCUGACCACCACCUUGAAAGUAACUUGGUUCUAGCAUAGCCCAAGCAUUUGACCCCCUCCCCAUAUGCAGUGGAGGAUCCAUCUCCCCCCAUAUGCUUCAAGUCCCCACUAUUUAUUCUUGGGGAAUGGGCUCCAGAUCUCCUCUACCCCUCGUGGUGAGCCAUCUCAGACAACACCUGGCCCACUGCAUAUAACAUUCACUUAGGUCCAAAAUGACAAUAACAACAACAAAAAUUAACCCCUAACAAGUUUCUAUCUAUAUUCUCAAGAAAGCAGAAUCAAUAUGAGAAAUUAAGAGAUAAGCAAAUCUGAACCUUUUAACAAGUAACAAAAGAGAAGGACCCAUUUAUUCCCACUAAUUGUCAACCAUACAACUCUCACUAGUAAAAUCAAGAUAGCAAGAUACAAGUUCAUCAUCUGAAUCAUUUCUGUGCUAUUACAAGUGUGAAAAUCCAUAAAGAUCCUGUCUGAUUUAAAUUAAAACUCCACAAUGACAGAA